AAUAUAACAGUACAAAGUUGAACUUUUUUUUUCCCUCUCUAUCUUCUUCAAGAACUCAAGAAGGAUCGAUCAAACCAACUAAUGAAGAGCUCUUCGAUGCCUCCUUCUUAUUCCAAAGUCUUCGAGUCCAACAAAUCAACAAUUGUUUUGCUCUAUGCAGAAUGAAGGCCAAAAAGGUCCUUUUGCCAGCUAUAGCUGCUUGAAAUUCAUCGCAUCCAAGAAAUAUUGCUUCCACUCGGGGCAAAUCUGAGGUUUUCAAUGACAAUUCGCAGAUCGCAUCAACAGAAGGAAAAAACCCCAACCUUCAGUUUAGAGGGGCCAAAAUAAGGAAAUCAGAUAAAACUCCACCGAUCCAAAUCUUCAACAACCAAUCCGACAAUCCAACACCUGCCAGCGAAAAUCCUCGAUCGCUGAUUGAAUAAAUCUCGAUAGACAAAGAGAUAUAUCGCGAACUUGUAGACCCUCCUUUUCAGCGAAAAAUAAAAUGAACGUGAAAUCUCCGUCAAGCAAACCGAAAAAUCUAGAGAUUCGAAGAUGUUGCUCGAAGAAUUUCAAAUGUCGGAGCGAGAACAGCAAGUAGCAAUCAUCGUGGGUUAGGGUUCGUAGAGUUGAAAGGGAGAGAGAGAAUGGGGGGUUUCAGACGGCUAAGAAAUUGGUUAGAAGAUGGAGAACAGUUAGAAUAAAAU
RNAcentral lists this unclassified non-coding RNA (686 nucleotides) under Hevea brasiliensis (rubber tree). The record is from RNAcentral. Lineage: Eukaryota; Viridiplantae; Streptophyta; Magnoliopsida; Malpighiales; Euphorbiaceae.